This 223-nucleotide ribosomal RNA is filed under the name uncultured prokaryote. RNAcentral's name for it is "partial 16S ribosomal RNA". It matches the Rfam family "Bacterial small subunit ribosomal RNA", at positions 524 to 746 of the family's 1533-position model. The record is from RNAcentral.
UACGGAGGGGGCUAGCGUUGUUCGGAAUUACUGGGCGUAAAGCGCGCGUAGGCGGCUUUGUAAGUUAGAGGUGAAAGCCCGGAGCUCAACUCCGGAAUUGCCUUUAAGACUGCAUCGCUUGAAUCAUGGAGAGGUGAGUGGAAUUCCGAGUGUAGAGGUGAAAUUCGUAGAUAUUCGGAAGAACACCGGUGGCGAAGGCGGCUCACUGGCCAGUUUCUGACGC